CAGAAACUUAAAGGAAGUUGACGGGGGCCGCACAAGCGGUGGAGCAUGUGGUUUAAUUCGAUGGUACGCGAGGAACCUUACCAGGGCUUGACAUACGUUGGAAGCGCAUCGAAAGGUGCGUGCCGCUUGCGGCCGGCGUACAGGUGCUGCAUGGCUGUCGUCAGCUCGUGCUGUGAAGUGUUGGGUUAAGUCCCGUAACGAGCGCAACCCUUGUCCUUAGUUACCAGCACGUUAUGGUGGGCACUCUAAGGAGACUGCCGGUGACAAACCGGAGGAAGGUGGGGAUGACGUCAAGUCAUCAUGGCCCUUACGGCCUGGGCUACACACGUGCUACAAUGGUCGGUACAAAGGGUUGCCAAGCCGCGAGGUGGAGCUAAUCCCAUAAAACCGAUCGUAGUCCGGAUCGCAGUCUGCAACUCGACUGCGUGAAGUCGGAAUCGCUAGUAAUCGUGAAUCAGAAUGUCACGGUGAAUACGUUCCCGGGCCUU
Molecule: ribosomal RNA, 488 nt
Filed under: uncultured Pseudomonas sp.
Lineage: Bacteria; Pseudomonadati; Pseudomonadota; Gammaproteobacteria; Pseudomonadales; Pseudomonadaceae
Description: bacterial SSU rRNA
Rfam family: Bacterial small subunit ribosomal RNA
Source: RNAcentral